UACGUAGGUGGCAAGCGUUGUCCGGAUUUACUGGGCGUAAAGGAUGCGUAGGCGGAUGUUUAAGUGAGAUGUGAAAUACCCGAGCUCAACUUGGGGGCUGCAUUUCAAACUGGAUAUCUAGAGUGCAGGAGAGGAAAGCGGAAUUCCUAGUGUAGCGGUGAAAUGCGUAGAGAUUAGGAAGAACACCAGUGGCGAAGGCGGCUUUCUGGACUGUAACUGACGCUGAGGCAUGAAAGCGUGGGGAGCAAACAGG
Molecule: ribosomal RNA, 253 nt
Filed under: uncultured bacterium
Lineage: Bacteria
Description: partial 16S ribosomal RNA
Rfam family: Bacterial small subunit ribosomal RNA
Source: RNAcentral